CGUUCAAUUAUUAUUACUACUACUAUGGCAAAUGGUUAUGCAACAAAAUUAUCAGAUUUCAGCUACGAUGUUUUUCUGAGUUUUAGUGGCGGAGCCAGCAAUGCUUUUGUUGAUCCUCUAUGUCGAGCUUUGCAUCACAGAGGAAUCAACAUCUUCAGAUCAGAAGAUGGCAAAACCAGACCCGCCAUUGAAGAAAUUGAAAAAUCCAAAAUGGCAAUGGUUGUGUUGUGUCACAACUAUGCAUUUUCCAAGGAGUCCCUUGAUGAACUAGCCAAGAUCAGUGAGUAUGUUGACAAUAAAAGAAAACAGGUUUGGGCAAUUUUUUACAAAGUGGAACCAUCAGAUGUACGAAAACAAAAAAAUUCCUAUAAAAAAGCCAUGGAUGGUCAUGAAAUGAGAUACGGAAAAAACUCGGAGAAGGUAAAAGCAUGGGGGAAUGCUUUGACUAGAGUAUGCGAUCUAAGCGGAAUACAUUUCAAGGAUGAUAUGUUUGAAGCUGAACUUGAGAAGAUUGUUGAAGCAGUGUUCUCUAAAUUAGCUCCCGUGCCUGUACAAAUGAACCAUGUAGUUGGACUCGAUUAUCACUUUGAACAGGUGAAAUCAUUUUUAGAUGUUGAGUCUAGUGAUACCGUUCGCAUGUUGGGAAUUUAUGGAGCUGGAGGAAUAGGUAAAACUACACUUGCAGUCUAUUUAUAUGAAAAGAUUAGGCAUUAUUACUUUGAAGCUGCUAGUUUUCUGAUUAAAGACAGAGAAAACCCAAACAAGAGCAAUAAUCUCUUGGAAGAUCUUCAAAAGAAACUUUUAUCUCUAAUGGGCGUAGAGACAGAAACCAUGAUGGGGAGUACAAAUAAAGGAGAACUUGAAAUCAAACGCAGGCUUGGCCAUAGAAGAGUUCUUCUAGUUUUGGAUGAUGUUGAUACAAAAGAACAAUUGGAAUCACUGGUUGGAAAACUUAAUUGGUUUGGUUCGGGUAGUAGGAUCAUUAUAACAACAAGAGAUGCAGCUGUGCUGGAUUAUGAUAAUGGAAUUAAGAAAUAUAAAAUGGAGGAGCUAAAAGAUUGUGACGCACUUGAACUUUUUUGUUGGAAUGCCUUUGAUAUGCCUGGACCUGCAAAAAACUUUGAAAAUAUUGCUCAUCGUGCAAUAGGUUAUGCAAAGGGUGUCCCUUUGGCUUUACAAGUAUUAGGAUCCAAUUUGAAAGGAAGAAUCAUAGAGGAAUGGGAAAUUGAAUUGGGAAAAUAUAGGAAGGUUCCAAAUGCUGAGAUUCAAGGUGUCCUAGAAAUAAGUUAUUAUAGCCUGCCUGAGCCUGAGAUGAAAAUAUUCUUGGACAUUGCUUGUUUUUUCAAAGGGGAGAAAUCGAAUUAUGUUAAAAGGAUAUUGAUGGCUUCUGAUUUAAGUAUUCAAGUACUUACUUCUAAAUGUCUAUUGAUAGUUGAUGAAAAUGGUUGCUUGGAGAUGCAUGAUCUAAUACAAGACAUGGGUAGAGAGGUUGUCAGGAAGGAAUCACCAUAUAAACCUGGUAACCGCAGUAGAUUAUGGUCUCAUGAAGAUGUUCUUCAAGUACUGAAAGAAAACUCAGGAAGUAGUACAAUAGAAGGAAUAAUGCUUCAUCCCCCUAGGCUUGAAGAAGUAGAAAAUUGGACUAAUACCGCCUUUGAGAAGAUGAAGAAUCUCAGAAUUCUUAUUGUUCGGAAUACAAAAUUUUCAACAGGACCUAGUUAUCUACCAAAUAAUUUACGACUCCUUGACUGGAUUGGAUUCCCAUCGAAGUCUUUUCCACCUUCUUUUUAUCCUGAGAAUAUCGUUGACUUCAAGUUAUCUCAUAGUCCUUUGGUAUUGGAAAAGUCACUUGAAAAGGUAUUUCAGGAUUUGACUUUUGUCAAUCUUUCCCAUUGUCAGUUCAUAACUCAAAUACCGAACAUGCAUGGAGCUAAAAACUUAAGAGUAUUGACAAUUGACAAAUGCCUUAAAUUGGAAGGGUUUCAUCAAUCCAUUGGGCAUAUGCCCAAUCUUGUAUACUUAAGUACAUCAGAGUGUAUCAUGCUCAGGAGUUUUGUGCCAAGAAUGUAUUUGCCAUCUCUGGAAAUGCUUUCAUUUAACUUUUGCAGUAAACUUGAAAAACUCCCAGAAGUAGUGAGAAAGAUGGAUAAACCAUUAAAAAUACACAUGAAAAAUACUGCUAUUAAGAAGUUUCCGGAUUCUAUUUGUAAACUUACAGGGCUUGAGUAUGUAGACAUGUCAGCUUGCACAGGACUCAGAGAUAUAUCAAGUUUUGUAUCACUGCCAAAACUUGUCACGUUAAAGAUGAAUGGAUGCUCUCAACUCGCAGAAUCAUUUAAAAUGUUCAGAAAGAGCCUUUCUGAAGCAAAUAGCCUGCCGAAUUUAAAGGAAUUACAUUUAAGCAGGGCUAAUCUGUCGUAUGAAGAUCUUUCCAUAGUUCUUCAUAUAUUUCCAGAAUUGGAGUACUUGAAUGUAUCCCACAAUGAAAUUGAAUCCAUCCCAGAAUGCAUCAAAGGAUCUUUGCAGUUGAAGAAUCUUGAUGUAAGUUUUUGCAGGAAUCUUGGGGAAAUUCCAGAACUUCCAUCAAGUAUUCAAAGAGUAAAUGCAAGAUACUGUCAAUCCUUAACUAUAGAGUCAUCAAGAGUGCUGUUAUCCAAGGUUUAUAAAGAAAUGGAGAGAAUACAUGUUGUGAUGCCAAAAACUGGAAUUCCAAAGGGGUUUCAAUGUAUUGACAGAGAAGAUAUUCCACUUUUUUGGGCUCGCCGGAAGUUCCCUGUUGUUGCUUUAGCAUUUGUGUUUAGGGAAGUAAAAACUAAAGAGGAUAUACUGAUGGAUACCUCAGAAUUGUUGCCUGGAGUUGUAUCUGCUGAGGAGUCCUACACUGUCGGCCUGAACUUGUUUAUAGGUGGCCAAGAAAUCUGUUGCAAAGUUCACAAUUACUGCAGUGUUGGGGAUCAUCACAUGUUAGUAUGUGAUCUACAGGUUUUGUUUAAUGAUGAAGGGUGGAAGGGUCUUGAUGCAUAUGUUGGAGAUGACUGGAAAGCCAUUCAAGUUCAAUGUGAAUCAACUUUGAGUCUGAGUCAUUGGGGAGUUUAUGUGUACAAGCAGAAAACAAACACUGAUGAUAUUCUAUUUAGUUUUCCCGAUUCAACAAGUUUGGUUUCAAAAGCAAGUCCACAGAAGAAAACAAGACAUAUACAAUGUUACGAUGCAAUAGAAAAAUUUGGCCAGAACUUGAAUUCAUUUAAAAUAGAACAAACUGCCUCAGUUGCAAACAUGCUAUUGAGAUGGUGGAGGAAUGCCAAGGCUAAUAUUAGAGGGGAUGUUUCUGCCUCUACAUAUGACGCAAGUUUAUUGCAAGAGCAUGAAGAUGUUGUCUGGGAUCUGGCACACAUUUUGGAGAUGUUGAUGGAAACAUUGCCAAAACAUACUAAUUCAGAAGUUCAAAGAACAGGCCAAUUGGUGGUUGAAUUAUUGGUUGCACAGGCACAACAUAUAAAGGAAUAUUACCAUGAGAAGUUUCACUACAAUCUAACUAUGCCUAUUAUUCUAGUGGAAUGUCAAUGUCACCCUUGCACAGAUUUAGAAAGAGCUCAAAGCCUUCGUUAUUGGGGAACCGUGGAGCUAGAAGAAGGAGAUCCACUUGUGUGGAAAAUAUGGAAGAGAAAUGAAGCAUUCAAGGAGAGGCUAAAUUACACUGUUCUGUUGAAAUGUGAGCAUCAUUCUACUAAGGAAGCUUCAAGCUCUAGCCAUAGGGAUUCCUUGGUGGAAGAAUACAAUGAUCCUACAUUGCAAGCAUUGAUGAGGAGGAUAGAAGAAGAUACUGCGAGGUUGAAUAAAUCUUAUGCGAAGUUGAAGGCUUCUAUUGUUCAAACGAAUGUCCCAGUUUCUGAAAAAUAUCUUCUGGAAAUGACAAUCAUUAGAGGUCUAGAAAGCUUGGGAAGAUUAGGGUCUAAUUUCUUCAAGACAACUUAUGGGAAAUUGAGGAUGGAGCAUGAUGCUCAUAGCACUACUCAUGUGCAGCAUGAGUUAAGGAUGGACCAUGGUGCUCAAAGCUCUACUUUGAAUAAGGAGCAACAUAAGUUGGGGGUGGAGCAUGAUGCUCAGAAUUCUAAUCAGGAAAAGAAUAACUUGGUUUGGAUCAGAUUAUUAUUUGGUAGAUUUUGGAGGCAAAGAUAGUGAAAGAUAGAACAAAGUGGUUUACCUCACCAUGUGUUAUGAUUUUUUAUAUUCUGGAUGGUUCCACCAAAGACACGCCCUGUGAAAAGAAUCAAGACUAUUGCAGGGCGAACAUCCCGUGCACCUGCAUUUGACUACACCUUCCAUCAUAAGGAACAUUAGAAUUUUUAUCCAAAGUUGGAAGAGAGAAGUAUCUAUAUGGAGAGGAUGGUUCAACUUAAGCCUAAUGAAUACCCUGAAUUCUAGGAAGAAAUCAAAAGAAGGAAGUGGGAAAAGCUAGCCUCCUACAUGGCCCCUGCCAACAUUUCUAUUGUGCGGGAGUUUUAUUACAAUGCUGGGGUUCUUAGCAAUGAGUUUCUUGAGUACACCAGCUAUGUUAGGGGUGUCACUAUCAGGUUUGAUGCAAACACCAUUAAUGUUUUUUUGGGCACCCAUCUGACAGAAGGCCUUAGGUAUUUUGAGUAUUCAGAUUGGAUAUCCCCCAACAAGGAUUAUUAGUUGGUGGAACAAACUAUCUAUAAAACAGGGAAGAAAUUUUAGUACACAAGCAGAGGAAAGAUAUCUCAUAUUCUGAGGGAAGAUUUAAUCCCAAUGGCAAAAGUUUUGGUAGCUUUUAUUCAUGACAAUCUUGCUCCGUGUUACUACACUUCUGAUGUUUUGGAGCCAAGGGCACUGCUUCUCUAUGCUAUCAUGGAUAAAAAAAGUUAUUGAUGUAGGGGCACUCAUAGCUGAAAAGAUUAGAAGCUGUGCAUUAGGGGGUAAAGGAAUUAUAUGUGAGAGAUAAAAAGAGUAAGAGAGCGAGAGAGAGAGAUGAGAGAAGAUUUGCAAUAGGCAAAGAAUGUAAUUGAUUAACUGCAGAAAACAGAGUACAAGACAGGUUUUAUAGAGCCAAUUAAGAUUGGUCUAUAAUAACCUAAUUAUCUAUAAUAACAGAAUAAUAACCUGAUUAUCUAUAAUAACAGAAAGAUAACCUAAUUAUCUAUAAUAACCGAAAAUAACAAUAAAGGAGUAAAACUGUACUCCAAUAGCCCCUCGCAA
Cajanus cajan (pigeon pea) is the source of this 5217-nucleotide non-coding RNA. The record is from RefSeq and is a predicted model, not a curated record. Lineage: Eukaryota; Viridiplantae; Streptophyta; Magnoliopsida; Fabales; Fabaceae.